UACGUAGGUGGCAAGCGUUGUCCGGAAUUAUUGGGCGUAAAGCGCGCGCAGGCGGUCCUUUAAGUCUGAUGUGAAAGCCCACGGCUCAACCGUGGAGGGUCAUUGGAAACUGGGGGACUUGAGUACAGAAGAGAAGAGUGGAAUUCCACGUGUAGCGGUGAAAUGCGUAGAGAUGUGGAGGAACACCAAUGGCGAAAGCAGCUCUCUGGGACGGUACUGACGCUGAGACGCGAAAGCGUGGGGAGCGAACAGG
RNAcentral lists this ribosomal RNA (253 nucleotides) under uncultured bacterium. Its description in RNAcentral is "partial 16S ribosomal RNA". It matches the Rfam family "Bacterial small subunit ribosomal RNA", at positions 524 to 776 of the family's 1533-position model. The record is from RNAcentral.